GCCUGGGUGGCUCAGUCGGUUAAGCAUCUGACUUUGGCUCAGGUCAUGAUUUCAUGGUUCAUGGGUUUGAGCCCCAUGUCAGGCU
Molecule: transfer RNA, 85 nt
Organism: Felis catus (domestic cat)
Lineage: Eukaryota; Metazoa; Chordata; Mammalia; Carnivora; Felidae
Rfam family: tRNA
About the family: Transfer RNA (tRNA) molecules are approximately 80 nucleotides in length. Their secondary structure includes four short double-helical elements and three loops (D, anti-codon, and T loops).
Source: Rfam